UACGUAGGGGGCAAGCGUUGUCCGGAAUCAUUGGGCGUAAAGAGCGCGUAGGCGGUCCGAUAAGUCGGUUGUGAAAACUGGGGGCUCAACCCUCAGAGGCCGACCGAUACUGUCGGGCUAGAGUCCGGAAGAGGCGAGUGGAAUUCCUGGUGUAGCGGUGAAAUGCGCAGAUGUCAGGAGGAACACCGGUGGCGAAGGCGGUUCUCUGGGCAUUACCUGACGCUGAGGAGCGAAAGUGUGGGGAGCGAACAGG
This 253-nucleotide ribosomal RNA is filed under the name uncultured bacterium. RNAcentral's name for it is "partial 16S ribosomal RNA". It matches the Rfam family "Bacterial small subunit ribosomal RNA", at positions 524 to 776 of the family's 1533-position model. The record is from RNAcentral.